GAUGAACGCUGGCGGCGUGCCUAAUACAUGCAAGUCGAGCGAACAGACGAGGAGCUUGCUCCUCUGACGUUAGCGGCGGACGGGUGAGUAACACGUGGAUAACCUACCUAUAAGACUGGGAUAACUUCGGGAAACCGGAGCUAAUACCGGAUAAUAUUUUGAACCGCAUGGUUCAAUAGUGAAAGACGGUUUUGCUGUCACUUAUAGAUGGAUCCGCGCCGCAUUAGCUAGUUGGUAAGGUAACGGCUUACCAAGGCAACGAUGCGUAGCCGACCUGAGAGGGUGAUCGGCCACACUGGAACUGAGACACGGUCCAGACUCCUACGGGAGGCAGCAGUAGGGAAUCUUCCGCAAUGGGCGAAAGCCUGACGGAGCAACGCCGCGUGAGUGAUGGAGGUCUUCGGAUCGUAAAACUCUGUUAUUAGGGAAGAACAAAUGUGUAAGUAACUAUGCACGUCUUGACGGUACCUAAUCAGAAAGCCACGGCUAACUACGUG
Molecule: ribosomal RNA, 497 nt
Filed under: uncultured bacterium
Lineage: Bacteria
Description: partial 16S ribosomal RNA
Rfam family: Bacterial small subunit ribosomal RNA
Source: RNAcentral